GACGAACGCUGGCGGCGUGCUUAACACAUGCAAGUCGAACGGAAAGGCCCUGCUUUUGCGGGGUGCUCGAGUGGCGAACGGGUGAGUAACACGUGAGUAACCUGCCCUUGACUUUGGGAUAACUUCAGGAAACUGGGGCUAAUACCGGAUAGGAGCUCCUGCUGCAUGGUGGGGGUUGGAAAGUUUCGGCGGUUGGGGAUGGACUCGCGGCUUAUCAGCUUGUUGGUGGGGUAGUGGCUUACCAAGGCUUUGACGGGUAGCCGGCCUGAGAGGGUGACCGGCCACAUUGGGACUGAGAUACGGCCCAGACUCCUACGGGGGGCAGCAGUGGGGAAUAUUGCACAAUGGGCGGAAGCCUGAUGCAGCAACGCCGCGUGCGGGAUGACGGCCUUCGGGUUGUAAACCGCUUUCGCCUGUGACGAAGCGUGAGUGACGGUAAUGGGUAAAGAAGCACCGGCUAACUACGUG
RNAcentral lists this ribosomal RNA (468 nucleotides) under uncultured bacterium. Its description in RNAcentral is "partial 16S ribosomal RNA". It matches the Rfam family "Bacterial small subunit ribosomal RNA", at positions 28 to 507 of the family's 1533-position model. The record is from RNAcentral.